This 894-nucleotide ribosomal RNA is filed under the name uncultured bacterium. Its description in RNAcentral is "bacterial SSU rRNA". It matches the Rfam family "Bacterial small subunit ribosomal RNA", at positions 28 to 921 of the family's 1533-position model. The record is from RNAcentral.
AUUGAACGCUGGCGGCAGGCUUAACACAUGCAAGUCGAACGAUGAAGAUAUAGCUUGCUAUAUCGGAUUAGUGGCGGACGGGUGAGUAACACUUAGGAAUCUACCUUUUAGCGGGGGAUAGCUCGGGGAAACUCGAAUUAAUACCGCAUAAUUUCUACGGAAUAAAGAGGGCUUUUAGCUCUCACUAGAAGAUGAGCCUAAGUAAGAUUAGCUGGUUGGUGGGGUAAAAGCCUACCAAGGCGACGAUCUUUAGCUGGUCUGAGAGGAUGAUCAGCCACACUGGGACUGAGACACGGCCCAGACUCCUACGGGAGGCAGCAGUGGGGAAUAUUGGACAAUGGGGGCAACCCUGAUCCAGCCAUGCCGCGUGUGUGAAGAAGGCCUUUUGGUUGUAAAGCACUUUAAGCAGUGAAGAAGACCUAUUGAUUAAUACCCAAUAGCGAUGACAUUAACUGCAGAAUAAGCACCGGCUAACUCUGUGCCAGCAGCCGCGGUAAUACAGAGGGUGCAAGCGUUAAUCGGAAUUACUGGGCGUAAAGCGAGCGUAGGUGGUUAAAUAAGUCAGAUGUGAAAGCCCUGGGCUCAACCUAGGAACGGCAUCUGAAACUAUUUAACUAGAGUAGGUGAGAGGGAAGUAGAAUUUCAGGUGUAGCGGUGAAAUGCGUAGAGAUCUGAAGGAAUACCGAUGGCGAAGGCAGCUUCCUGGCAUCAUACUGACACUGAGGCUCGAAAGCGUGGGUAGCAAACAGGAUUAGAUACCCUGGUAGUCCACGCCGUAAACGAUGUCUACUAGCCGUUGGGGAACUUGAUUCCUUAGGGCGCAGCUAACGCAAUAAGUAGACCGCCCUGGGGAGUACGGGCCGCAAGGUUAAAACUCAUGAAUUGACGGGGGCC